AUUUUGUUUGAAGCAUGUUCAUGAUUAAAUCUGUAUGCUGGCUUAUUUGAGUGACUGCUCUCUGAUUGCGGUUUCCUCAGUCCUAGUUCUUCCUCUUCUUCUUCUUCUUUUUUUUUUUUUUUCUUUUCUUUUUUCUUCCCUUUCCUUCCUUUCUUUUUGGUUUAGGGAAGCCCUUUCAAUAUUUCCUUUAACCUGGGUUUUGUGUUGCUGUAUUCUUUAAGUUUUUGUUUGUUGGGAAAAAUUUUUAUUUCCCCUUCUAUUUUAAAUGAUAUUCUUGCUGGAUAAAGUAUUCUAGGUUGCAUAUUUUCUCCUUUGAGCACUUUAAAUAUCUCUUGCCAUUCCCUCCUGGCCUGUAGUGUUUCUGUAGAGAAAUCAGCUGAUAUUCUUAUGGGGGUUCCCUUGUAGGUAACAUUCUGUUUUUCUCUUGCUGCCUUUAGGAUCCUCUCUUUAUCACUAACUUUUGCCAUUUUUAUUAUGAUGUGUCUUGGUGUGGGUCUGUUUGGGUUCAGUUUGUUUGGGGCCCUCUGUGCUUCUUGUAUCUUGAAUCCAGUAUCCUUUAGAUUUGGGAAGUUUCCAGCGAUAAUUUCUUCAAAUAUAUUUUCCAUUCCCUUAUCUUUUUCUACUCCUUCUGGAAUUCCUAUUAUGCGUAGAUUGGCCCGUUUUAUAUUAUCCCAUAGGUCUCUUAUAUUGCUUUCCAGUUUUUUGAUUCGGUUUUCUGUCUGUUGACCAGAUUGAGUGAUUUCCAUUAUUCUAUCUUCCACAUCACUGAUUCGUUCUUCUGCAUUAUUCAUUCUGGUUUUUACUGCCCCUAGUUCAGUUUGCAUCUCUGCAAAUGAAUGUUCUAGUUUUUCUUGGCUCCUCCUUAUAUUUUCUAGCUCCUUUCUGAGGGUAUCUGCAUUGCUGUUCAUAUCUUCUCUUAAUUCCUUCAGUAUUUUCAGUAUUUCUCUUUUGAAUUCCAGGUCUGUCUGACUGCAGAGAUCUGUUUCAUUGUUGACUGUUUUAGGUGAGUUCUCCUGUUGGUUUGACUGGGGGUGGUUUCUCAGCUUCUUCAUCUUGCUUGUUGUUUUCUUUCUUCUGAGGAUGUUGUACUCUCCGUUAUCGGGCAGUGUUUGCCUUGUCACUGCCGUGGAAUGUUUCCUGAGAGCUGGAAUUGUUGGUCAGUCUUUUUUCAGGCAGUGUGGCUUUUCUGGAGUGUUGAUGGGGCUAACAGUGUUUCUUUGAAGCAAAGGAGUACUUCCUGAGGGCAGACAGGACUGGGAGGUCCACACCACGAUGGUAGCAGAUUUCACUUGGUCAUGCAGAGCUUGCUCUGGUGUUUUUAGGCUGUGGGGUUCUUGCAGGGGGUUGGCGGUGUUGGGCAGCUGUUCCUCAGGCGUGCAGCACCCCCUGGGGGCUGGAGCAGCUAUCUGGGUCCCUGAGAACCUAAGAGGCUCUUCCCUAGGGCAGCCCGACUCAGAAGGACGGCCUGAGAAUGUAGGCGGAUCUUUUCACAGUCUGGCCGAGCUUGUUGCAGCUUUUCUGGGCUGCAGGGGCUCUUCCAGGGGGCUGGUGGUGCUGAGCAGCUAUUCCAUGGGAGUGGGGCACCCCCUGGGGCUUGGGCGGGUAGCAGGGCCCUUGGAGACUCAAGAGGCUCCUCCCAGGGCAGCCCGACUCAGAAGACCGUCUGAGAUCUUUUCCCAACUCGGCCAGGCUUUUUGCAGCUUUUCUGGGCUGCAGGGGGUCCUGCCUGGAGCUGGCAGUCCUAUGCAGCUGGUCCACUAGGUCUUAGCACCCCCUGGGGUCUUGGGCGGGUAGCAAGGCCCUUGGAGACCCAAGAGGCUCCUCC
RNAcentral lists this long non-coding RNA (1825 nucleotides) under Sus scrofa (pig). RNAcentral's name for it is "lncRNA (ENSSSCG00000038647.3)". The record is from RNAcentral. Lineage: Eukaryota; Metazoa; Chordata; Mammalia; Artiodactyla; Suidae.